Molecule: ribosomal RNA, 497 nt
Filed under: uncultured bacterium
Lineage: Bacteria
Description: partial 16S ribosomal RNA
Rfam family: Bacterial small subunit ribosomal RNA
Source: RNAcentral
GAUGAACGCUGGCGGCGUGCCUAAUACAUGCAAGUCGAGCGAACAGACGAGGAGCUUGCUCCUCUGACGUUAGCGGCGGACGGGUGAGUAACACGUGGAUAACCUACCUAUAAGACUGGGAUAACUUCGGGAAACCGGAGCUAAUACCGGAUAAUAUAUUGAACCGCAUGGUUCAAUAGUGAAAGACGGUUUUGCUGUCCCUUAUAGAUGGAUCCGCGCCGGAUUAGCUAGUUGGUAAGGUAACGGCUUACCAAGGCAACGAUGCGAAGCCGACCUGAGAGGGUGGUCGGCCACACUGGAACUGAGACACGGUCCAGACUCCUACGGGAGACAGCAGUAGGGAAUCUUCCGCAAUGGGCGAAAGCCUGACGGGGCCACGCCGCGUAAGUGAUGAGGGUCUUCGGAUCGUAAAACUCUGUUAUUAGGGAAGAACAAAUGUGUAAGUAACUAUGCACAUCUUGACGGUACCUAAUCAGAAAGCCACGGCUAACUACGUG